RNAcentral lists this small RNA (1043 nucleotides) under Pongo abelii (Sumatran orangutan). RNAcentral describes it as "retained intron". Lineage: Eukaryota; Metazoa; Chordata; Mammalia; Primates; Hominidae. The record is from RNAcentral.
CCACCCUGCAGAGCCUGCGGCACCCCGGGAUCGUGAACCUGGAGUGCAUGUUUGAGACACCUGAGAAAGUGUUUGUGGUGAUGGAGAAGCUGCAUGGGGACAUGUUGGAGAUGAUCCUGUCCAGUGAGAAGGGCCGGCUGCCUGAGCGCCUCACCAAGUUCCUCAUCACCCAGAUCCUGGUGGCUUUGAGACACCUUCACUUCAAGAACAUUGUCCACUGUGACUUGAAACCAGAAAACGUGUUGCUGGCAUCAGCGGACCCAUUUCCUCAGGUGAAACUGUGUGACUUUGGCUUUGCGCGCAUCAUUGGUGAGAAGUCGUUCCGCCGCUCAGUGGUGGGCACGCCGGCCUACCUGGCGCCCGAGGUGCUGCUCAACCAGGGCUACAACCGCUCGCUCGAUAUGUGGUCGGUGGGCGUGAUCAUGUAUGUCAGCCUCAGCGGCACGUUCCCUUUCAACGAGGACGAGGACAUCAAUGACCAGAUCCAGAAUGCUGCCUUCAUGUACCCGGCCAGCCCCUGGAGCCACAUCUCAGCUGGAGCCAUUGACCUCAUCAACAACCUGCUGCAGGUGAAGAUGCGCAAACGCUACAGCGUGGACAAAUCUCUCAGCCACCCCUGGUUACAGGAGUACCAGACGUGGCUGGACCUCCGAGAGCUGGAGGGGAAGAUGGGAGAGCGAUACAUCACGCACGAGAGUGACGACGCACGCUGGGAGCAGUUUGUGGCAGAGCAUCCGCUGCCUGGGUCUGGGCUGCCCACGGACAGGGAUCUCGGUGGGGCCCGUCCACCACAGGACCACGACAUGCAGGGGCUGGCGGAGCGCAUCAGUGUUCUCUGAGGUUCUGUGCCCUCGUCCAGCUGCUGCCCUCCACGGCCGUUCUUCACAGGAUCCCAGCAGUGAACUGUUCUAGGGAAAGUGGCUUCCUGCCCAAACUGGAUGGGACACGUGGGGAGUGGGGUGGGGGGAGCUAUUUCCAAGGCCCCUCCCUGUUUCCCCAGCAAUUAAAACGGACUCAUCUCUGGCCCCAUGGCCUUGGUCUCA